UGGGGAAUUUUGGACAAUGGACGCAAGUCUGAUCCAGCCAUGCCGCGUGCGGGAAGAAGGCCUUCGGGUUGUAAACCGCUUUUGUCAGGGAAGAAACGAGUUUCUCUAAUACAGAGACUUAAUGACGGUACCUGAAGAAAAAGCACCGGCUAACUACGUGCCAGCAGCCGCGGUAAUACGUAGGGUGCAAGCGUUAAUCGGAAUUACUGGGCGUAAAGCGUGCGCAGGCGGUUAUGCAAGACAGAUGUGAAAUCCCCGGGCUCAACCUGGGAACUGCAUUUGUGACUGCAUAGCUGGAGUGCGGCAGAGGGGGAUGGAAUUCCGCGUGUAGCAGUGAAAUGCGUAGAUAUGCGGAGGAACACCGAUGGCGAAGGCAAUCCCCUGGGCCUGUACUGACGCUCAUGCACGAAAGCGUGGGGAGCAAACA
Molecule: ribosomal RNA, 427 nt
Filed under: uncultured bacterium
Lineage: Bacteria
Description: bacterial SSU rRNA
Rfam family: Bacterial small subunit ribosomal RNA
Source: RNAcentral